Molecule: ribosomal RNA, 468 nt
Filed under: uncultured bacterium
Lineage: Bacteria
Description: partial 16S ribosomal RNA
Rfam family: Bacterial small subunit ribosomal RNA
Source: RNAcentral
GACGAACGCUGGCGGCAUGCUUAACACAUGCAAGUCGAACGGAAAGGCCCUGCUUUUGUGGGGUGCUCGAGUGGCGAACGGGUGAGUAACACGUGAGUAACCUGCCCUUGACUUUGGGAUAACUUCAGGAAACUGGGGCUAAUACCGGAUAGGAGCUCCUGCUGCAUGGUGGGGGUUGGAAAGUUUCGGCGGUUGGGGAUGGACUCGCGGCUUAUCAGCUUGUUGGUGGGGUAGUGGCUUACCAAGGCUUUGACGGGUAGCCGGCCUGAGAGGGUGACCGGCCACAUUGGGACUGAGAUACGGCCCAGACUCCUACGGGAGGCAGCAGUGGGGAAUAUUGCACAAUGGGCGGAAGCCUGAUGCAGCAACGCCGCGUGCGGGAUGACGGCCUUCGGGUUGUAAACCGCUUUCGCCUGUGACGAAGCGUGAGUGACGGUAAUGGGUAGAGAAGCACCGGCUAACUACGUG